AUAGCUUCAUAAGUGAGAGCGUCGCCAACAAAUUAAAGUUAAUGCCAUCGAUCACUUGGAUGUGAAUAUGUUUUGUAUGCACAUCGUCUUCUCUGCUUGUUCCAAUUCUCUGCAAAUCUGCUCAGUCUACCAAAUAAUUUCGCAAAACAUCUCUUUAUAUGAUCCAAAUGCAAUGUCAUAUAUAUAUGUAGGCUCUCUACUGCAUGCAUGCUACACAUUCAUGGAAAUGUUUCAUAAAAACCUGUGCAGUUGGAAUAUAUAAAUCAGAACAUGCAUGGAGGCAGAGUUGUAAAGUUACAGCUUUAUGGAGCUCUCGCUAGCUAGCUCCAUGCAUGGGACGACACGACGAUCAGUGGCAUGCAUGUGUCCUGCUUUGAUGUAUGAGGAAACAAGGGGAAGGAGACAACUACUCAUGAACCUUAACUUUUGGCCUAGCUAGCCUUCCGAUCGAAAAAACAAAAUAUAUAUGACAUCUGUUCGUAGAUGGCAGCAGUAUUUAUUUAUUUGCAUCUAUAUAUCGAGAUAGAUAGUCCAUAAUCUUCAGGCCAAAGGGUGAGCAUAUUUUUAUCUGUUUACUCCUAAUAGCUUGUAGUCUGCCCCCAAUCGAAAAGAACACAUGUAGAUGUAGAGCAGUAGUAUCUUUGAGAUUACUGCCCUUGGUUCUAAUUUGUGGAAAUUAACAUAUAGAACUAGCUAGAAACACUUGUUUGUGUACGAUCAUUGAUCGAUUUAUGAGCAAAAUCAUUUGAUACUCAGGAGAUAUAUAUGCAGACUGAUCAUACAUAUGAGACCACCGUUAAUUAGAUGGGGAUUUGGCCAACAAAUCUCUUAGAUUAAGAUGAACUAGAAACAAAGAAGUCAUGUCUAGGAGAGAGAAAGGUAAGCAAAAGAGAAGAUAAGAAGAUCCUUCAUGCAUGCGAAAAGGGAUAGCGAUGAU
RNAcentral lists this long non-coding RNA (937 nucleotides) under Zea mays. RNAcentral describes it as "drought-responsive long non-coding RNA". The record is from RNAcentral. Lineage: Eukaryota; Viridiplantae; Streptophyta; Magnoliopsida; Poales; Poaceae.